GUGCCAGCGCUGCGGUAAUACGUAGGUGGCAAGCGUUGUCCGGAUUUAUUGGGCGUAAAGGGAACGCAGGCGGUCUUUUAAGUCUGAUGUGAAAGCCUUCGGCUUAACCGAAGUCGUGCAUUGGAAACUGGGAGACUUGAGUGCAGAAGAGGAGAGUGGAACUCCAUGUGUAGCGGUGAAAUGCGUAGAUAUAUGGAAGAACACCAGUGGCGAAAGCGGCUCUCUGGUCUGUAACUGACGCUGAGUUCGAAGCGUGGUAGCAACAGGAUAGAUACCUGGUAGU
This 283-nucleotide ribosomal RNA is filed under the name uncultured Lactobacillus sp. RNAcentral describes it as "partial 16S ribosomal RNA". It matches the Rfam family "Bacterial small subunit ribosomal RNA", at positions 505 to 794 of the family's 1533-position model. Lineage: Bacteria; Bacillati; Bacillota; Bacilli; Lactobacillales; Lactobacillaceae. The record is from RNAcentral.